This 477-nucleotide ribosomal RNA is filed under the name uncultured bacterium. RNAcentral describes it as "bacterial SSU rRNA". It matches the Rfam family "Bacterial small subunit ribosomal RNA", at positions 26 to 518 of the family's 1533-position model. The record is from RNAcentral.
GCUAGGACGAACGCUGGCGGCGUGCCUAACACAUGCAAGUCGAGCGAGGAGAUCCUCGGGAUGAUCCUAGCGGCGGACGGGUGAGUAACACGUGGGCAACCUGCCUCAUAGAGAGGAAUAGCCUUCCGAAAGGGAGAUUAAUACCUCAUAACAUUGCAGUUUCGCAUGGAACAGCAAUUAAAGGAGCAAUCCGCUAUGAGAUGGGCCCGCGGCGCAUUAGCUAGUUGGUGAGGUAACGGCUCACCAAGGCGACGAUGCGUAGCCGACCUGAGAGGGUGAUCGGCCACAUUGGGACUGAGACACGGCCCAGACUCCUACGGGAGGCAGCAGUGGGGAAUAUUGCACAAUGGGGGAAACCCUGAUGCCAGCAACGCCGCGUGAGUGAUGACGGCCUUCGGGUUGUAAAGCUCUGUCUUCAGGGACGAUAAUGACGGUACCUGAGGAGGAAGCCACGGCUAACUACGUGCCAGCCGCGGC